GAGAGAUUCAGGGAGGAGCUGAGCUGUUACUGAACUAUAGAACAGACACAAACUUCCACAUUCAACACAGUUCAACAUACAAACCACAAACAUUCACUCUGUUCAGCAUGGACUGUUGUGGGCUUUCUCUGCUGGUUGUCACAAUUCUAACAGGAGUCAGCUGUGAACAGCUGACUGCAGUGAAGAAUGAAGAGUCCAGUUUAGAAGGAGCCCCUGUUACUCUGUCCUACAAUUACUCUAGAGAUGCUGCUAUUGGUGAUUAUUUCUUCUGGUACCGGCAAGAUCCAGGAGAACCUCCAGAGUUCCUGAUCUCUCACACAGGAACAGAAACACUUAUAUUACAGAAAGUGUCUGGACUGAGUUUUACUGUGAGUGAUGAUAAAAGACGCGUGGACCUGCUGAUCUCCUCUGCUGCAGCGACAGACUCUGCUGUGUACUACUGUGCUGUGAGGCCCACAGUGACAGGAAACUGUAAAAGUGUGUAGAAAACCUGCAGAGCAAAGACAACACAAUACUCCACAACAUCCACUAGAGGGACUCACACAGUGGGAACCCACUGGUUGUUGGACUGAUGACAAAGACAACAGACACAUGAAGCAGCAGAAACAAGGUGAAGUUGCAGUAAAGCUGGUGGAGUUCAAGUGGUUCAACAUAUAUAAAUUCUGUUUUAUCCAAAUUCAGAAGCAGGAAAUGAUUUUAUAACCAGCCUCUAACAGUGGAUAGGCAUUUUUCUAGUUGAAUCAAGUUGUAAGAGCUACCCAGAGAGAGAGGGACAGGCAGCGGAAUAACAAUAAAAGUUACAUCAAAUGGACAUAGGAGGCCACCCAGAGGCAGCAGAUAGAUUGAGAACAGCAGUGGGCCCAGUACAGACCCUUGAGGGACUCCAUGCUUCAGCACAAAGGUCUCAGACAUGUCCUUCUGAAUCUGACAUCAUGUGAUCACUCAGACAGGUCUGAUUUCAGCCAUGAGUGUGUUUCCCAUUACUCCCAUAUAGCUUUCAGUAUAGCUUCAACUACACUCCACUGCAUCCCCCGG
Molecule: non-coding RNA, 1035 nt
Organism: Nothobranchius furzeri (turquoise killifish)
Lineage: Eukaryota; Metazoa; Chordata; Actinopteri; Cyprinodontiformes; Nothobranchiidae
Source: the annotation of a RefSeq genome assembly